CGGCGAAGUGAGAGCGGCGGUUUCUUUUCGCUCAACCCCUGGAUAGCGACCUCCGCGUAGUCCGUAGGUCUGAACUCCAAGAAUUGUGCAAAAGUUCCGGCGACAAACUUGUAAAACUGGAAGUCGUCCCUGGGUGGGCUCGAACCACCAACCUUUCGGUUAACAGCCGAACGCGCUAACCGAUUGCGCCACAGAGACUUCGAUGCCGUUACCGUCUCCAACUAUAGCUUUUAUGGAGAAUUAUAAAGGCAGCAUAUUGAAAAACUAUAAAACAGCAAGAGCGAGCAGAAUUUCAGAUUGCAACGUGUGUUAAAAUACCGUCGUUUCUUUCCAACUCCCGUUUGGAACGUUCUGUUUCAGGAAGAUGACUAUUUCUGAUGUUUCCUUCUAUAGGGAAACAAAAAUUUUAAUCUUGUGAGUUGAGAACUUUUCCUUUUGUUUCAAACUCUUUGUCCAGUGUUUUGUUCGCUAAUCUUCAUGAUUUACUGCUGUAGCAUUCACAAGGUCAUCUGAAUUGUCUUUAUUUGCCUUCUUUAUUUUUAUUUUCAGGUAUUAUUAAAUACAUAUAUGUAAUCCCUAUUUGUUUGCCACGUACUAACCGAUAGUACAAUUAUCUGUCGUUAACAUUUUGUUACUGGAAAAGAGCACUAGGAAAAAGCUACAGUAACACUAUUAGUCCCGUGCAUUCUAGUUCAUUGCUGAAUCGCCCUUCGUUCUCCCUAGAUGUAGCCUAUACGCGCACACAUUUGAGCCGUGCGCCUUGAAAGGCACGUUUCGCAAGGUAUUUAUAACCCAAUUUGAGGAAAGAGAAGUUAAAGAAGAAAAAAGUAUGAUUUAUGACUAACUCCUGAAAAUCCCUAGCGCAGAAACCCUGUUGGCAAACUUGCUACAUCUCUAUAUAUACUCUAAAUGAACAUUUUUCCUUUUGUGUGAAUAUUUCCAGAUGCCUUUCGAGGUACUCUUCAAAGCUCUAAACACUCUUUUUUUCCCCCUUCUCUCCUCAAAUAACUCCUAGUUUUCACUUGACAACUCUGUAUUUAAAUGUUUAGCAGUUACUGUAUUGCUCUGUCCAGAAUCCCUCGAGAAAGAAUUCGUUUCAUGAUUUAUAGAAGUUGUACGCGACACGCCUCAGUCCAGUCAACAUUUUGAGUUCCUGUGGUUUGAUAAGACAAUUUAAAUUGGCUUUGGAACCAAUUAGCAGAAUUCUUUGAAAGCUCUGGGAUAUUAAACAGCUGUCAAUUCACACCAAGCUGUACCACUCCUCUUUCAACAAACUUUUAGGAGUGCGCUUGAAAAUUCUGAAUUUGAUAAAA
Molecule: transfer RNA, 1313 nt
Filed under: Ursus maritimus (polar bear)
Lineage: Eukaryota; Metazoa; Chordata; Mammalia; Carnivora; Ursidae
Description: lncRNA (ENSUMAG00000013655.1)
Source: RNAcentral